This is a long non-coding RNA of Mobula hypostoma (lesser devil ray), 1269 nucleotides long. RefSeq lists it as uncharacterized. The record is from RefSeq and is a predicted model, not a curated record. The transcript is spliced from 4 exons. Lineage: Eukaryota; Metazoa; Chordata; Chondrichthyes; Myliobatiformes; Myliobatidae.
CUUUACUCCUAAAGUCUGUUAUUUCUAACGCCAUGGAUCCUACAUACCAUCAAACAGCUUUAAAUACUAACGAGAGGCACAAACUGGGGGACAGCAACAAGCUAAGAGGCUGACCAGUCAAAGCUGAGGUUUCAGCAUGCACUCAGUAGCAACAAUUUGUAUCUGCACAUCCUCCUUAACGCAGCAAGAUUUCCCAGGAUCAUUCAGAGGAACAUCAGAACUUAAGGAAGUGUCAGGGAGGGCCACAAAAGCUUGGUCUACGAGGCACACAAACAAAAUCAAGAGAAGCCGAGGUUUAUGGAGAGGGAACCCUCAAGCUCUUAGGGAGCUGAAGACCGGUGGUGGAAUGAUCAAGUCAGGCUAAAACAAAGAGCUAGUAUGUCACUCUAACUUGAGCCCAACACAUACACACACACAGAUGCAAUCACGAAGAAGCCACGUCAGAGGCUCGAUUCCGUGAGGAGCUUGAGGAGAUCUGGUUUACAGAUACAGGCCGAAAUCGGGUGAAUGGGAUUAGCUACAAUGGGCACCUUGGCCAGCAUGGAUGAGAUGGGCCAAAAGGCCUGUGCCAUAUAACUUCAUGGAACUAUAGAGGUGCUGGCCUGUUGCCAUAAAUCUUUUUGGAUGAAACCAGCACCCUGCAUUUAAAACAAAGGUAAGAUAGACACAAUUUUUUUAAUUCUGUUUUGGGAAAGCAGGUAUUGCUAGACAUUCUAGUAUUUCUCAGUUGGAAUUGCCCCCCUGAACAGAGCCUGCCUACUUCUAAGUCACAUCAGGCAAAUCGCUUUCCCUGCAGUGAGCUAGAAGGCCAGAGGGAUUUUUAACUGCAAUCUAGUCGUUUUUCUCAAUCACCAUCAAAGUUAAUUGCCUCAUUAUAGAAAAGGCAUGGAAGUUUUAGAGAGGGUGCAGGGGAGAUCGACCAGGAUGCUGCCUGGACUACAGGGCAUGUCUUUUGAAGAUAGGUUGAGCGAGCCAGGGCUUUUCUCUUUGGGGUAGAGUAGGAUGAGAGGUGACUUGGUAGAGGUGUACAAGGUGGUAACAGGCAUAGAUUGAGUUGGUAGCCAGAGUUUUUCCAGGAUGGAAGGGAGCAUUGUUUUAAGAUGAUUGGAGGGAAGUACAGGGAGGAUUUCAGAGGCAAGUUCUUUACAAAGAGAGUGGUGGGUUCAUGGAAUGCCUGCUAGGGGUGUUGGUAGAGGCAGAUACAUUUGGGGCAUUUAAAAAACUCUUAGGUAGGAACAUGGAUGAUAGAAAAAUAGAGGGUUAUGUGGG